CAACUACUGAGGCUAUUGCCACCGCCUUCCCAGUAACGCGGCUUACAGCCCGGAGGGGGGGACUUGCAGUUUCCAGGGGCAACAAGCGUCUCUCUACCACCUUCUCCUGCGCCUCAAAGAGGGCUGGUCCUGUGAGGCUGGGACGAAGAUGAUUCAAAGCUGAGCUGAAACUGCUGCAAGAACCAGUCUCCUUUGGGUCACUCUGUUAGGGUGACCUAGGUUCUCUUACCAAGUCCAAGACUACAACAUUUGUGAUUUUAUCUCCAUGAAACUGCUAAAAGUGCUGCAUAGCCCUUUGGCUGCCUCUUCCUGAAUUGGAAAGGUACAGUCUUGACAAGGAACAAAUGACGUCUGUAUAUGAAGAAAUGACAGAUGACCAUGUGUUAAGUGUCAGCCUUGAUGGAUUUACACAAGAAGGCCAAAGCAACUCAAGGAAGGGAGACACCCCUGGAAUCCUCAGGACCUUUUGGUGGAGGUGCUACCAACAGACAACCAAUUGAAAACUGAGCGAUGAGUGGUAGUCAAAGAACUCUUGAGCAAAUACGUAGUUUUCCAGUGAAUAAGGGUUCAUGAUGGGUGCAUGAUGAAAUGCUCUUUCUAAGCCAGGAUGUGACUCUACUUUUGGGUGGACUGAGGCAUUUGAAGUAAGUUGGGAGAUAGAAGACCUGAUUUCUGAACACAGUCUAUAUCCUGAACAGUUUCCUAGAAAUGACGGAACUGAUUAAUUUUUAUAAAGCACUCCAAGUGUCACACAGCAAGUUUUGAUGCUUCCAAGUGCCCAAAGAGGGAACCUGGCAGCAGGGGUUCCUGGGGAUCAUAUCUGGCACUGGCGAUGAUUGGCUCCACCAGUCAGUGAGGAAGGGGUCCUACUGACCACAGCCCCCCAACCAGCUUCAGUGAAAAGACGGAGACUGAGGUGAUGGAGCCCUGGUUCCUCAUGCACAGACAAUUAUGGUACUUAAUUUGGAACUGCAGGAAGCUUUGGUUCAUGCACUGAAAAGCUGACCUGGAAGUUAUGCUUAGAGAAGAAAAAGAGGGAAGAGCCUCUUAGGUAACUUGAAGAGCAUCAAGGAUCCAAUGAUAAAAACCACUGCCCUGAAGUGACGUGUGCUACUUUCAGCUGAGGAUUCAACUGCUGACAUGACACCCUCGAGAUCGCUCUUUUUCUCCUCUGCCAUCACAUCCCAAAAUUCUCCAGAGUGGAUGCUUCAUCAGCGUGGGUUUGGAGCUAAGAUGAUGAUGAUACUGAGAAGAGCCUGGGGCAGACUCACUAUGAAAAAUAAACUUUUAUUGUUUUAAGCCACUGAAGAAAACAGAAAACACUGCCCUGAACUUUCCAAGGUGUAAUAAAUCUCUCUGCAUAAGACUCUGCAGUCAUUGCCAAGGCAGAUCCUGAACUGAGAGCCACGUGGAAAGAGGACUGGAAUGGAAAUCAGAUUCGGGGUCCUGCUUGGGUUUCUUCCAGAUGACCCCACCCAUCAGCCAUCUGGUCUCAGAUUCCACAUAUGAGUGAGAUCAUAUGAUAUUCAUCAUUCUGUGUUUGACUUUCUGCAACAUGAAUUGACCUAGAGAUUAUCAUACUAAGUGAAGGGGAAUACAUGGCUUUCUCCUCACUUCUUUGCAUUUUUCCAGUGCCUUUGAAAGUACCACCAGAAUGAUGGCUGCAUUUUCAGUGGUGGAAAUUAUUGCUAUGUCUCAGAAGCAAGGAAUCACAGGAUAUCUACUUUCCAGUGGUGAUAUAUGACUCUCAUAAAUGAAAGCCACACCAUCAUUUAUAACACCCUAAUGAGUUUUUUUCAUAGAGACAGAACAGAGAUUCCUAAUGUUUCUUGGAACUUCCCAAAAAACAGGGCAAGAAAAAAAAAUUCAACUAAAUGCCUGUUUGUUAGCCCAGCAUUGGAAGGGAGCAGCCUUAAAGAAUAAUUGGUCGCUCCUAAGAAACCAUUAAUAUAACAAAAGCUGUCAAAAGAUAUGAAGGAAGAAAGGAUGGUACUUUUUGAUUAUGAGGUAUGAAUUUAUUUUUGCCUGAACACUUGACCACUGGGGAACUGUGCCUUCCUGUGAAAUGCAUGCUCCAGCCAUGCCAUUGGCUCUGGUGACCCACAGAGAGGGUAAUCCAAUUAUCCAGGUAAAGAAAUGUCUGAAAACAAAGAAUAAAUAGCAGUUAUAUUUUGGAAUUAAGCUCAUUCAUAAAACUGGUAGGUCACAUUCAUUUCAGAAGUACAUCAAUUAGAAUACUGUGUGAGGCUGUGAUUAAAACAUUCAUUCAUUUGUUCAUUCAACAAAUACUUAUUGAGAGCCUUCCAUGCGCUAGACACUGUCCUAGGUGCUGGGGGUGUAUUAAUAAGCAAAGACAAACAUGGUCCUUGCUGGUAAAUUUAACAACUGGUUUUCCAGAAACAAAAGCCCUGUCUUUUGAGUAUUUGCCAGUUUCAAGGUCUCCAUGUUCUGCACUACCUGGCACAGAGUCAGAACUCAAACAUGGCAACCAUCGUCAUCAUCUUUCUGUCUCGAUCAUAAUUCUCAUCAAUAUUGUGUAUGAUGAUUGUGCUUUAACAACAUACUAAAAAGAAACUCAUGAUCUACGGAGGUAAAUGUCCAAGACAUGUGUUUAGGAGUGUGUGAGUGUGUGCGUAUAAAGGUAAGGAAAAGCAGAGAAGGGUCUGAAAGGAUGCACACUGGAUUUGGUAUGGUUACCUCAAAAAGAUGUGGGAUUGAGUGGAAGUUAACUAUCAAAGUGGGACUUUUUUUCUUUUCUUUUACUAAAAAUCUGUAGUUUGAAUUUUCAUGAGUAUGGAUUAAUUUUAUAAUUUUUGAAGAAAAUUUGCACUGUCCAAGUUAAACAAGCAUAGCUCUCUCACAUGAUGGCAGUCCAACAGUGACCAAAUGCCUAGUAGAUAAAGGGCGGUUAUUAUGGGAGAGUCAGGUACCAUAAUAUAUGAAUCAUUGUAGAUGGAGUCAUCGUUAAAUGAUGGUUAGGUGGUUUUCCUGGUGAAAAGUGACUUCAGCUGUUGACAGAAGAUGAAAUAGAAUCAAGACACUUGACAAGUAUUCCAGUUGCUGUAGAACAAACCACUCCAAAACAGCAACUUAAAAUAAUGACAGUGUUUAUUUUGCUCACAGAUUUGCAGGUGGGGUGGGGUGGGGUGGGUGGGGACAUUUUGUCCAUUCUCUACUUGGCAUCAGGUGGGGUGACUGGCGGGCGGAAGGUGGAAUCAUCUGAAGGGCACUCACUCGCGUGUCUGGUGGUUGAUGCUGACUGUUGGCUGGGACCAACAUGGGGCCGUGGCUGCAACACCUACGUGUGGCCCUUCAUACGGCUGCUCAUCUUCCCCACAGUAUGGUGGCUGGGUUCCAAAGGUGGUCGCAAAGCAUUGCCCAGGUGCCGAGAGAGGAAAACUGGACUCUAUCUCUUGAUGGACUCAAGACAACCGUAAGACAUUUCGUUUUAGCUCAGUCAACAUUUUAUUCUUCAGAAAUUUGUUAAAGACUUGAAACGUUUUCCAGUCUGUUCUCUGCCACCACUACAGCUCCAAAGUAACAAAAGGAGCAAGGCUCCUCUAGCUGGAACUCAUGAGGUAAAUGAAGAACUACAAACAAUUUAUUAUGGUUAGAGGACAUGAAUGGGGCAUGCCUCAUAAAAGUGGAAAUUUUUGUAUAGAGCCACAAAGGAUACCUAAGAUUUCUACAGAUAGAGGAAACAGAAUAAACAAAGGCACAGAUGCUUGAACUUGCCUGGCACAUUCAAGGAUGUAGAAUCAAGGAAGUGUGGAAAGUGCAUGCGUGGAGGAUGGAUGACUUUCUUUGAUUUUGCCAAAAGGAGAGAAUGAGAACUUGAUAAAUAAGGCAGAAGAAGAAUUGCUUUGACUGGAGAUUUCGAAACCAUCUCUCCUCUUCCCCUGCAUUUUGAAUGGGGCUCCGUGAACAUCUGAAAGCUGGAAGUUAUUACAGAAGAUUGAGUAGAGUCCCCUGUGCUGUACAGCAGGUCCUUGUUGGUUUUCUACAUUAUAUACAGCAGUGUGUAUACGCUCUGCCCCUCUGUCUCCUGCAUACCCACUGCCACUGUCCAGACUUCCCGCAUCCUUCUCCAGGACACUUCAGUGGGGAGAAGAGAGGAUGGAGCAAUGUCCUCAAGCUGAUGGGAGGCCAAGUGUAUGGGUUGGAAGAGUUGACCAUGAGUACCUCUAAUCCUCCAAGACCAUAGGAAAAGAUCCAAGAAUGGGAGCAGAGGUAGGUAAACUUGGAGGUGGGAACACCACAGGAUGGUACAGUUCAAGCCAGACGGCUUCAGUUUUUGUUGAAGUAGGUUACAAAGUCACAUCUGCUGGUAGUAAGGACAUUGAGACUGGGGAAAGGGCUGAGGGAAAAUGGUAGCUUGGGAACAUCAGAGAAGUAAGUAGAAGGAGAAAUAUCACUGAUGGCAGGGGAGCGCAUUGGGUUUGAGAUGCCUCUGGUUUUCAUGGUUGUGAUUUUUUCCACCUGCAAGCAGAAGCCCAGGAACAGAGGCAGAAAAGAACAGCAAACAUUUAUUGAGCAUUUCCUAUGUACCUGAAACUUAUCUUAGCAUCUCUACAUAUUGUGGUAAGCAGAAUAAUGACCUUCUAGUAAUGGCCACAUCCUAAUCUCUGGAAUCUGUGAAUGUGCUACAUUAUAUGGCAAAGGGGAAUUAAGGUUACAGAUGGAAUGCAGGUUGCGGAUCAGCCAACUGCGAAACAGGGAGAUCAUCCUAGAUUAUAUGGGUUAUGUGGGCCCAAUAUAAUAAGGGUCCGAGAAGUAGAAGAUGGAAGCGCAAGAGAAGAUCAGAGUGAUAUGAAGUGAGAAGGACUUAACCUGCCAUUGCUGGUUUUGAAGAAGGAGGAAGGGGCCCUGAGUCAAGGAAUGUGGGUGGCCUCUAAAAUCUAGAACAGGCAAGGGAAUGGAUCCUACCCUCUAGCCUCUAAAAGGACUGCAGCCCUGCUGACAACUUGAUUUUAACCCCUGAGGCUCUGCCAGACUUCUGAUCUACAGAAAUGUAGAACAGUAAAUCGUAUUAUUGAAUUUUUAAAAUGUGUGGUAACUGGCUACAGCAGCAAUAUAAAACUAAAACCUAUAUAUGUUUUCUUUUAUCCUUCACAACAUUAUUUUAUAGUUGGGCUGUUUGGGGAGUUGAUCCUGGUUAUUGACCUGGAUGUCAUGAAGGAGGUGGAGACAAAUCUUAAGAAAGAAAUGUUUCCAACUUGCAAGGCGUCUGCCUCAAGGGAAGCCUUUGUAGUAUUUUUAGGCAAGGAAUAAUGGACCACUUCUGAAGGCCCAGAGGGUUCAAGGGAUUCUGAGAACCCAGAGUACUCAAUUCUUCCAUCUAGAUGUCCCCAUUCUAUGCCCCAGUAUCCCAUGCGUUCCCUAUCAAACCUUGACUUUGGCGUAUGAGAUUUGGUGGGGCUACAUAUUAUGGCUUCUCUGUAAUUUGUUUUUCACAGUCAGGUCCUGGGCCUGAUUUUCAGCCCAAUCUGCCUUCUGUCUGUGGUAGUGCAGGAUCUCUUUAAGUCCGUGAGAGAGGCCUCUUGAGUUGCACAUAUGCCCUGAAUAAGUGGUUGGUUUGGUUGAGCCUGCCAACUCCACAGCCCUUAUAGUUACCACUGGACUUUAUCUCUCAAGUAUUAGCAAGUUUGCAAAUGCCAGUAUCUCAUCCCACCUGGCCUCAGGUGAGAUGCUUAGUAAUUGUGAUAUUACACAGCAUAGUCACCUUAAAUGUCCCUUCACCUAAAUCCUAGGGAGUCCUUCCUUGACUCUUCAGUCUAAAACCUCAUAAAAUUCACUAUCCCUACACACUAUUUCUUUUAUAAUAUGUAGAACACUGUAUUUUAUUUUUGUGUCUAAAAUUUAUUGUUUGUACAUCCAGAUAUAAUGAGACCUUUUAAAAUGCAGUGCUAGUUCAAGGCUUGGCACAAAAUGGACUCAAUAAAUA
Molecule: long non-coding RNA, 5944 nt
Organism: Orcinus orca (killer whale)
Lineage: Eukaryota; Metazoa; Chordata; Mammalia; Artiodactyla; Delphinidae
Exons: 17
Source: RefSeq, a predicted model, not a curated record